RNAcentral lists this long non-coding RNA (211 nucleotides) under Physcomitrium patens. Its description in RNAcentral is "long non-coding RNA (PPAT_LNC004985)". Lineage: Eukaryota; Viridiplantae; Streptophyta; Bryopsida; Funariales; Funariaceae. The record is from RNAcentral.
UGAUUGCAUAUAAACUUAGAAUUAUGUUCAAGGAAUGUUGUGUUUAAGGUAUAAACUUAGAAUUGUGUUCAAUGAAUGGUGUAUUUAAGGUAUAAACUUUGAAUUGUGUUUAAGAAAUGGUGUAUUUAAGGUAUAAGUCUUUGAACUAUGUUGAAGGAAUAUUGUGUUUAAGAUAAGAAUGUUUCAUCAUACCAUAUUUUUGAAGAGAAUU